GAUGAACGCUGGCGGCGUGCCUAAUACAUGCAAGUCGAGCGAACGGACGAGAAGCUUGCUUCUCUGAUGUUAGCGGCGGACGGGUGAGUAACACGUGGAUAACCUACCUAUAAGACUGGGAUAACUUCGGGAAACCGGAUCUAAUACCGGAUAAUAUUUUGAACCGCAUGGUUCAAAAGUGAAAGACGGUCUUGCUGUCACUUAUAGAUGGAUCCGCGCUGCAUUAGCUAGUUGGUAAGGUAACGGCUUACCAAGGCAACGAUGCAUAGCCGACCUGAGAGGGUGAUCGGCCACACUGGAACUGAGACACGGUCCAGACUCCUACGGGAGGCAGCAGUAGGGAAUCUUCCGCAAUGGGCGAAAGCCUGACGGAGCAACGCCGCGUGAGUGAUGAAGGUCUUCGGAUCGUAAAACUCUGUUAUUAGGAAAGAACAGAUGUGUAAGUAACUGUGCACAUCUUGACGGUACCUAAUCAGAAAGCAACGGCUAACUACGUG
This 497-nucleotide ribosomal RNA is filed under the name uncultured bacterium. RNAcentral describes it as "partial 16S ribosomal RNA". It matches the Rfam family "Bacterial small subunit ribosomal RNA", at positions 28 to 507 of the family's 1533-position model. The record is from RNAcentral.